UUCCAGACUCCUACGGGAGGCAGCAGUGAGGAAUAUUGGUCAAUGGGCGCGAGCCUGAACCAGCCAAGUCGCGUGAGGGAGGACGGCCCUACGGGUUGUAAACCUCUUUUGCCGGGGAGCAACGGGCGUCACGUGUGGCGUCACUGAGAGUACCCGGAGAAAAAGCAUCGGCUAACUCCGUGCCAGCAGCCGCGGUAAUACGGAGGAUGCGAGCGUUAUCCGGAUUUAUUGGGUUUAAAGGGUGCGUAGGCGGUUUUUUAAGUUAGUGGUUAAACGUCGGGGCUUCACCUUGAUUUGCCAUUAAUACUGUAAGACUCGAGUUCAGACGAGGUAGGCGGAAUAAGUUAAGUAGCGGUGAAAUGCUUAGAUAUAACUUAGAACUCCGAUAGCGAAGGCAGCUUACCAGACUGCGACUGACGCUGAAGCACGAGAGCGUGGGUAGCGAACAGGAUUAGAUACCCUAGUA
Molecule: ribosomal RNA, 466 nt
Filed under: uncultured bacterium
Lineage: Bacteria
Description: bacterial SSU rRNA
Rfam family: Bacterial small subunit ribosomal RNA
Source: RNAcentral